UACGGGGGGGGCAAGCGUUGUUCGGAAUUACUGGGCGUAAAGGGCUCGUAGGCGGCCAACUAAGUCACACGUGAAAUCCCUCGGCUCAACCGGGGAACUGCGUGUGAGACUGGAUGGCUUGAGUUUGGGAGAGGAAUGCGGAAUUCCAGGUGUAGCGGUGAAAUGCGUAGAUAUCCGGAGGAACACCGGUGGCGAAGGCGGCUUCCUGGACCGAUCACUGACGCUGAGGCGCGAAAGCUAGGGGAGCAAACGGG
Molecule: ribosomal RNA, 254 nt
Filed under: uncultured bacterium
Lineage: Bacteria
Description: partial 16S ribosomal RNA
Rfam family: Bacterial small subunit ribosomal RNA
Source: RNAcentral